Molecule: long non-coding RNA, 440 nt
Organism: Vitis vinifera (wine grape)
Lineage: Eukaryota; Viridiplantae; Streptophyta; Magnoliopsida; Vitales; Vitaceae
Exons: 3
Source: RefSeq, a predicted model, not a curated record
AAUCUUGUACAACCGCACAAUCGAAGAAAGGCGAAAGCAGAGAGAGGAGAGGGAGACGAAAGAAGAUGACGAAGCAGAGCUUCAUAGUUGCAGUGUUUAUGGUGUUCCUGGUGUGUAGCUCUCACUUGGAGAGCGUCGCCGGCCAAGUCUCCCCCGCCGAAUGCGAGGACUCCUGCUCCAUGGGCUGCAUUAAUGUUGACCAGAGGCUUGCGGCGCGUUGCGAGCGUAAGUGCAGAAUUAAAUGCUACCCAGCAGGUGUGAAAGUUGAAGAAAAGAAUUUGGGUUAAAGAGGUUUUGAGGGAGGAGAGAUGCUGAUGUGUAGAAUUAAGAGCCGUGUGUAAUGUUUGGUAGUGAUGAAUAAAAUGUAAGUUGAAGUUGUGACGUGGCGAGAAAAUAAAAAUGGGGAAGGAAAUAGUUUGGCCUUCACUCAUUUAUUUUCA